Molecule: small RNA, 736 nt
Filed under: Pongo abelii (Sumatran orangutan)
Lineage: Eukaryota; Metazoa; Chordata; Mammalia; Primates; Hominidae
Description: retained intron
Source: RNAcentral
ACCAACGCCAGACACCGAGACAACGCCGGGGCGGAGGGUACGAUGGAGAAUUUCACGGCACUGUUCGGGGCUCAGGCUGACCCACCACCGCCCCCAACCGCACUCGGCUUCGGACCAGGAAAGCCUCCACCCCCGCCACCGCCUCCUCCGGGCGGGGGACCCGGCACGGCCCCGCCUCCCACCGCGGCCACGGCCCCUCCUGGCGCGGACAAGUCUGGAGCUGGCUGUGGCCCUUUUUACCUCAUGAGGGAACUGCCAGGUAGCACAGAGCUGACAGGCAGCACGAAUCUGAUCACACACUACAACUUGGAACAAGCCUAUAAUAAAUUCUGUGGGAAGAAGGUGAAGGAGAAGCUAAGUAACUUCCUGCCUGACCUGCCAGGGAUGAUUGAUCUGCCUGGUUCCCAUGAUAACAGCAGCCUCCGCUCUCUCAUUGAGAAGCCCCCUAUUCUCAGUAGCUCUUUUAAUCCUAUCACAGGGACCAUGCUGGCCGGCUUCCGCCUCCACACUGGCCCGGUGAGUCCUGUUGAAGAAGGCAAAUGGGGAGGCCUAAACAUGGAGAUGGUUUUUCUCUCCAAGUCUGUUCCUUCAUAAUGGAGCAGAAUGGACGAUAGGAGCAGGAGAGAUUUCCUCCCUCUACUCACCCGGACCUUCCUUUGGUUCCUUCAGUUGCCGGAGCAGUGUCGUCUGAUGCAUAUUCAGCCUCCCAAGAAGAAGAAUAAGCACAAGCACAAAC